This 157-nucleotide ribosomal RNA is filed under the name uncultured bacterium. RNAcentral's name for it is "partial 16S ribosomal RNA". It matches the Rfam family "Bacterial small subunit ribosomal RNA", at positions 360 to 509 of the family's 1533-position model. The record is from RNAcentral.
AAUCUUCCACAAUGGACGAAAGUCUGAUGGAGCAACGCCGCGUGAGUGAAGAAGGGUUUCGGCUCGUAAAGCUCUGUUGGUAGUGAAGAAAGAUAGAGGUAGUAACUGGCCUUUAUUUGACGGUAAUUACUUAGAAAGUCACGGCUAACUACGUGCC